GGUUAAGCGACUAAGCGUACACGGUGGAUGCCCUGGCAGUCAGAGGCGAUGAAGGACGUGCUAAUCUGCGAUAAGCGUCGGUAAGGUGAUAUGAACCGUUAUAACCGGCGAUUUCCGAAUGGGGAAACCCAGUGUGAUUCGUCACACUAUCAUUAACUGAAUCCAUAGGUUAAUGAGGCGAACCGGGGGAACUGAAACAUCUAAGUACCCCGAGGAAAAGAAAUCAACCGAGAUUCCCCCAGUAGCGGCGAGCGAACGGGGAGCAGCCCAGAGCCUGAAUCAGUGUGUGUGUUAGUGGAAGCGUCUGGAAAGGCGUGCGAUACAGGGUGACAGCCCCGUACACAAAAAUGCACAUGCUGUGAGCUCGAUGAGUAGGGCGGGACACGUGGUAUCCUGUCUGAAUAUGGGGGGACCAUCCUCCAAGGCUAAAUACUCCUGACUGACCGAUAGUGAACCAGUACCGUGAGGGAAAGGCGAAAAGAACCCCGGCGAGGGGAGUGAAAAAGAACCUGAAACCGUGUACGUACAAGCAGUGGGAGCACAGAGCAAUCUGUGUGACUGCGUACCUUUUGUAUAAUGGGUCAGCGACUUAUAUUCUGUAGCAAGGUUAACCGAAUAGGGGAGCCGAAGGGAAACCGAGUCUUAACUGGGCGUUAAGUUGCAGGGUAUAGACCCGAAACCCGGUGAUCUAGCCAUGGGCAGGUUGAAGGUUGGGUAACACUAACUGGAGGACCGAACCGACUAAUGUUGAAAAAUUAGCGGAUGACUUGUGGCUGGGGGUGAAAGGCCAAUCAAACCGGGAGAUAGCUGGUUCUCCCCGAAAGCUAUUUAGGUAGCGCCUCGUGAAUUCAUCUCCGGGGGUAGAGCACUGUUUCGGCAAGGGGGUCAUCCCGACUUACCAACCCGAUGCAAACUGCGAAUACCGGAGAAUGUUAUCACGGGAGACACACGGCGGGUGCUAACGUCCGUCGUGAAGAGGGAAACAACCCAGACCGCCAGCUAAGGUCCCAAAGUCAUGGUUAAGUGGGAAACGAUGUGGGAAGGCCCAGACAGCCAGGAUGUUGGCUUAGAAGCAGCCAUCAUUUAAAGAAAGCGUAAUAGCUCACUGGUCGAGUCGGCCUGCGCGGAAGAUGUAACGGGGCUAAACCAUGCACCGAAGCUGCGGCAGCGACACUAUGUGUUGUUGGGUAGGGGAGCGUUCUGUAAGCCUGCGAAGGUGUGCUGUGAGGCAUGCUGGAGGUAUCAGAAGUGCGAAUGCUGACAUAAGUAACGAUAAAGCGGGUGAAAAGCCCGCUCGCCGGAAGACCAAGGGUUCCUGUCCAACGUUAAUCGGGGCAGGGUGAGUCGACCCCUAAGGCGAGGCCGAAAGGCGUAGUCGAUGGGAAACAGGUUAAUAUUCCUGUACUUGGUGUUACUGCGAAGGGGGGACGGAGAAGGCUAUGUUGGCCGGGCGACGGUUGUCCCGGUUUAAGCGUGUAGGCUGGUUUUCCAGGCAAAUCCGGAAAAUCAAGGCUGAGGCGUGAUGACGAGGCACUACGGUGCUGAAGCAACAAAUGCCCUGCUUCCAGGAAAAGCCUCUAAGCAUCAGGUAACAUCAAAUCGUACCCCAAACCGACACAGGUGGUCAGGUAGAGAAUACCAAGGCGCUUGAGAGAACUCGGGUGAAGGAACUAGGCAAAAUGGUGCCGUAACUUCGGGAGAAGGCACGCUGAUAUGUAGGUGAAGCGACUUGCUCGUGGAGCUGAAAUCAGUCGAAGAUACCAGCUGGCUGCAACUGUUUAUUAAAAACACAGCACUGUGCAAACACGAAAGUGGACGUAUACGGUGUGACGCCUGCCCGGUGCCGGAAGGUUAAUUGAUGGGGUCAGCGCAAGCGAAGCUCUUGAUCGAAGCCCCGGUAAACGGCGGCCGUAACUAUAACGGUCCUAAGGUAGCGAAAUUCCUUGUCGGGUAAGUUCCGACCUGCACGAAUGGCGUAAUGAUGGCCAGGCUGUCUCCACCCGAGACUCAGUGAAAUUGAACUCGCUGUGAAGAUGCAGUGUACCCGCGGCAAGACGGAAAGACCCCGUGAACCUUUACUAUAGCUUGACACUGAACAUUGAGCCUUGAUGUGUAGGAUAGGUGGGAGGCUUGGAAGUGUGGACGCCAGUCUGCAUGGAGCCGACCUUGAAAUACCACCCUUUAAUGUUUGAUGUUCUAACGUUGACCCGUAAUCCGGGUUGCGGACAGUGUCUGGUGGGUAGUUUGACUGGGGCGGUCUCCUCCUAAAGAGUAACGGAGGAGCACGAAGGUUGGCUAAUCCUGGUCGGACAUCAGGAGGUUAGUGCAAUGGCAUAAGCCAGCUUGACUGCGAGCGUGACGGCGCGAGCAGGUGCGAAAGCAGGUCAUAGUGAUCCGGUGGUUCUGAAUGGAAGGGCCAUCGCUCAACGGAUAAAAGGUACUCCGGGGAUAACAGGCUGAUACCGCCCAAGAGUUCAUAUCGACGGCGGUGUUUGGCACCUCGAUGUCGGCUCAUCACAUCCUGGGGCUGAAGUAGGUCCCAAGGGUAUGGCUGUUCGCCAUUUAAAGUGGUACGCGAGCUGGGUUUAGAACGUCGUGAGACAGUUCGGUCCCUAUCUGCCGUGGGCGCUGGAGAACUGAGGGGGGCUGCUCCUAGUACGAGAGGACCGGAGUGGACGCAUCACUGGUGUUCGGGUUGUCAUGCCAAUGGCACUGCCCGGUAGCUAAAUGCGGAAGAGAUAAGUGCUGAAAGCAUCUAAGCACGAAACUUGCCCCGAGAUGAGUUCUCCCUGACUCCUUGAGAGUCCUGAAGGAACGUUGAAGACGACGACGUUGAUAGGCCGGGUGUGUAAGCGCAGCGAUGCGUUGAGCUAACCGGUACUAAUGAACCGUGAGGCUUAACCUU
RNAcentral lists this ribosomal RNA (2905 nucleotides) under Escherichia coli. Its description in RNAcentral is "23S ribosomal RNA". It matches the Rfam family "Bacterial large subunit ribosomal RNA". Lineage: Bacteria; Pseudomonadati; Pseudomonadota; Gammaproteobacteria; Enterobacterales; Enterobacteriaceae. The record is from RNAcentral.